CGAACGCACCGAGCAAACUGAAUCCGAAAAUACCUCAACAAAGAAAUGGAAACAAAACUGGCUUUGGGUGUUCUUUUUCUCUUGUCACUUCUUCUGAUCGAAGGAACCGAAGGUGUACUGUCCUGCACAAACAAGGACGAGUUGUAACGGUAAGUCGAACGGAAAGCGGGAACGAAGUGUCCGCUCCAUUGCUGGACGGCUCGAUGACAAACAGAUUCUCCUAGAUGAAGACGCACACCUGAGGGGCCAGCAAGUUGAGCAUCUUUAGGGAUCCUACUAAUAUACAACGACGCUGAAAAUGAAUGUAACUUAAAUUUGAUGUUAAUGCCGACUUUAUGAAGUAAUUUUGAGCUCCAUAGAAAGUGUUUUGCUUUUGUUUUUUAAUUAAUUAAGUAAAUAAACGCUGAACGAGUCUCUUA
Molecule: long non-coding RNA, 419 nt
Organism: Pocillopora verrucosa
Lineage: Eukaryota; Metazoa; Cnidaria; Anthozoa; Scleractinia; Pocilloporidae
Source: RefSeq, a predicted model, not a curated record